AACGAACGCUGGCCGCAUGCCUAACACAUGCAAGUCGAACGAGACCUUCGGGUCUAGUGGCGCACGGGUGCGUAACGCGUGGGAACCUGCCCUUAGGUUCGGAAUAACUCCCCGAAAGGGGUGCUAAUACCGGAUAAUGUCUUCGGACCAAAGAUUUAUCGCCUUUGGAUGGGCCCGCGUUGGAUUAGCUAGUUGGUAGGGUAAAAGCCUACCAAGGCGACGAUCCAUAGCUGGUCUGAGAGGAUGAUCAGCCACACUGGGACUGAGACACGGCCCAGACUCCUACGGGAGGCAGCAGUGGGGAAUAUUGGACGAGGGGCGCAAGCCUGAUCCAGCAAUGCCGCGUGAGUGAUGAAGGCCUUAGGGUUGUAAAGCUCUUUUACCCGGGAUGAUAAUGACAGUACCGGGAGAAUAAGCUCCGGCUAACUCCGUG
RNAcentral lists this ribosomal RNA (433 nucleotides) under uncultured bacterium. Its description in RNAcentral is "partial 16S ribosomal RNA". It matches the Rfam family "Bacterial small subunit ribosomal RNA", at positions 29 to 507 of the family's 1533-position model. The record is from RNAcentral.